Molecule: ribosomal RNA, 439 nt
Filed under: uncultured bacterium
Lineage: Bacteria
Description: bacterial SSU rRNA
Rfam family: Bacterial small subunit ribosomal RNA
Source: RNAcentral
GCAAAACGCGAAGAACCUUACCAGGUCUUGACAUCCCGCUGACCGCCCUAGAGAUAGAGUUUUCCCUUCGGGGACAGCGGUGACAGGUGGUGCAUGGUUGUCGUCAGCUCGUGUCGUGAGAUGUUGGGUUAAGUCCCGCAACGAGCGCAACCCUUGAUCUUAGUUGCCAGCAUUCAGUUGGGCACUCUAAGGUGACUGCCGGUGAUAAACCGGAGGAAGGUGGGGAUGACGUCAAAUCAUCAUGCCCCUUAUGACCUGGGCUACACACGUGCUACAAUGGACGGUACAGAGGGUCGCAACCCCGCGAGGGUGAGCAAAUCCCAUAAAACCGUUCUCAGUUCGGAUUGUAGGCUGCAACUCGCCUACAUGAAGCCGGAAUCGCUAGUAAUCGUGGAUCAGCAUGCCACGGUGAAUACGUUCCCGGGUCUUGUACACACCG